RNAcentral lists this non-coding RNA (96 nucleotides) under Clostridium amylolyticum. Its description in RNAcentral is "Glycine sequence". It matches the Rfam family "Glycine riboswitch aptamer". From Rfam's summary of the family: This family represents the bacterial glycine riboswitch. Lineage: Bacteria; Bacillati; Bacillota; Clostridia; Eubacteriales; Clostridiaceae. The record is from RNAcentral.
UGAUGGAUCUCUGGAAAGUAUCCGAAGUUAAGUCGGAUCGCCGUAGGAGCAAUGCAUUUAUGUAGAAUCUCUCAGGUAAAUUACAGGGAAUAUGGU